Molecule: ribosomal RNA, 1221 nt
Filed under: metagenome
Description: SSU rRNA
Rfam family: Eukaryotic small subunit ribosomal RNA
Source: RNAcentral
GAUCCUAUGGAUCGGUUAUUUCGAUGAGUUGAGCUUAAAUAGCUCUUCGAGGACCCAGUGGAGGGCAAGUCUGGUGCCACCAGCCGCGGUAAUUCCAGCUCCACUAGUGUAAAUCGUCAUUGCUGCGGUUAAAAAGCUCGUAGUUGGAUCUGAGUCGCGUACGUUGGUUCGCCUUUGGCGUUAAUCUUCGUUGCGACUAUUUUGCUGGUUUUCUGUGGGUAACUUCGGUUCCCGCAGUGGCUAGCGAGUUUACUUUGAAUAAAUUAGAGUGCUCAAAACAAGCGAUUGCUUGAAUGCUCGAUCAUGGAAUAAUAAAAGAGGACUUCGGUUCUAUUUAUUGGUUCAAGAACUGAAUUAAUGGUUAAGAGGGACAAUUCGGGGGCAUUCGUAUCCCUGCGCGAGAGGUGAAAUUCGUGGACCGCAGGGGGACGCCCAAAAGCGAAAGCAUUUGCCAAGAAUGUCUUCAUUAAUCAAGAACGAAAGUCAGAGGUUCGAAGGCGAUUAGAUACCGCCCUAGUUCUGACCGUAAACUAUGCCAUCUAGCGAUUCGAUGGGACAUCUUUGUCUCGUCGAGGAGCUUCCCGGAAACGAAAGUCUUUCGGUUCCUGGGGUAGUAUGGUUGCAAAGCUGAACUUAAAGAAAUUGACGGAAGGGCACCACCAGGAGUGGAGCCUGCGGCUUAAUUUGACCCAACACGGGAAAACUCACCCGGCCCGGACACCGUUAGGAUUGACAGAUUGAAAGCUCUUUCUCGAUUUGGUGGUUGGUGGUGCAUGGCCGUUCUUAGUUGGUGGAGCGAUUUGUCUGGUUUAUUCCGAUAACGAGCGAGACUCUAGCCUACUAAAUAGUUUCUGGAUUUUUUGGUCCAGUUAACUUCUUAGAGGGAUAAGCGGUGUUUAACCGCACGAGAUUGAGCGAUAACAGGUCUGUGAUGCCCUUAGAUGUCCGGGGCUGCACGCGCGCUACACUGGAAGAAUCAGCUGGUAUUCCAUUGCCGAAAGGUAUUGGUAAACCGUUGAAACUCUUCCGUGACCGGGAUAGGGAAUUGUAAUUAUUUCCCUUGAACGAGGAAUUCCUAGUAAGUGUGAGUCAUCAGCUCACGUUGAUUACGUCCCUGCCCUUUGUACACACCGCCCGUCGCUGUCCGGGACUGAGCUGUUCCGAGAAGAGUGAGGACUGCUGCAGCGAGGCUUCGGCUUUACUGUGAUGGAAAUCACUUUA